This 506-nucleotide ribosomal RNA is filed under the name uncultured bacterium. RNAcentral's name for it is "partial 16S ribosomal RNA". It matches the Rfam family "Bacterial small subunit ribosomal RNA", at positions 28 to 523 of the family's 1533-position model. The record is from RNAcentral.
GAUGAACGCUAGCUACAGGCUUAACACAUGCAAGUCGAGGGGUAACGAGAGGAAAGCUUGCUUUCCUUGUCGACGACCGGCGCACGGGUGAGUAACGCGUAUCCAACCUGCCCCCAACUAGGGAAUAACCUUGCGAAAGUAAGACUAAUACCCUAUAAUUUCCUCAGAUGCCAUCUGACGAGGAAUAAAGAUUUAUCGGUUGUGGAUGGGGAUGCGUCUGAUUAGCUUGUUGGCGGGGUAACGGCCCACCAAGGCAACGAUCAGUAGGGGUUCUGAGAGGAAGGUCCCACACAUUGGAACUGAGACACGGUCCAAACGCCUACGGGAGGCAGCAGUGAGGAAUAUUGGUCAAUGGGCGGAAGCCUGAACCAGCCAAGUAGCGUGCAGGAUGACGGCCCUAUGGGUUGUAAACUGCUUUUAUACAGGAAUAAAGUUAGCCACGUGUGGUUAUUUGUAGGUACUGUAUGAAUAAGGACCGGCUAAUUCCGUGCCAGCAGCCGCCGUAA